GCUGGAGUGGUGAAAUUGGUAGACGCACUGGAUUCAAAAUCCAGCGGGGGCAACCUCAUGAGAGUUCGAUUCUCUCCUCCAGCA
Molecule: transfer RNA, 84 nt
Filed under: Candidatus Omnitrophota bacterium
Lineage: Bacteria; Pseudomonadati; Candidatus Omnitrophota
Description: tRNA-Leu
Rfam family: tRNA
About the family: Transfer RNA (tRNA) molecules are approximately 80 nucleotides in length.
Source: RNAcentral